RNAcentral lists this long non-coding RNA (761 nucleotides) under Microcebus murinus (gray mouse lemur). Its description in RNAcentral is "lncRNA (ENSMICG00000048467.1)". Lineage: Eukaryota; Metazoa; Chordata; Mammalia; Primates; Cheirogaleidae. The record is from RNAcentral.
ACGAUUGUCUUGAGCUUGUGCACCCGUGUCAGCUUCUCAGCCCAGUGUGGCGUUAACCCGUGACACACAGCCCUGCGUUGAGCCUGCCAGAGACUGCUUCAUUUUAAACUUCUAAACUCCACCUUUCUCCAAAACCCUGUCUUCCUGGGCUGAGAGACGGGGUCUUACUCUUUCUCAGGCUGGUCUUGAACUCCUGAACUCAAGCGAUUCUCCUGCCUUUGCCUCCCAGAGUGCUGCGAGUAGGCGUGAGCCACUAUACCCGGUCACGUGUACAUAUAUAUUUUUAAAAGAGAUGGGAUCUCGCUCUUGCUCAGGCUGGUUUCGAACUCCUGACCUCGAGCAAUCCACCCACCUCAGCCUCCCAGAGUACUAGGAUUACAUGCGUGAGCCACCGCGCCUGGCCUGCUUCAUUUCUUUUAUGUAAGAAAUUAAGUUUUAAUCUUUUGGUCCCCAGGGUAAUCACAUUAUCAAAAUGAGAAAAGGGAAUAUUUGGGAGGAGGGACACCUGGUAAGGAUAUUACUAGGAUAAUCCUACAAAAAGAGGGUAUUUGAUUACCUCUGCUCUCAGGCAUUGUGAAGAGGAGUUAGAAGGGAAUGGGGUAAAUGCCUGACAGUCUGAGAUAAAAACUAGUGGUUCUCCUGUUCUUGACUUCAGGGCUACAGGGAGGCUGAGUAAAAACUUGGGUUUACAUUUCAUAUAUUCAGUAAGAGUUAAAUAUUCUAUUUUCUUAAUUUGUUAUGUAGCCCUUUUCCUUGUUUAG